AGGAUUUGAUCCCUGGACCUCACAGUUGCUACCGAGUGCGCUAACCAGCUGGGCUAGGUGGAUGUCUUGUGGAAAAAGAGACUCCUAUGCUACAUGAACAAGCACCACGCCGAACCUGAACCAAAAAUCAAACAAACAGCAAAAAUAAGCAGGGUUGUCUGGGAUUCGAACCCCAGAUCCCUCGCUUGGAACAUGACUGCGCUACCAACUCGGAUAUGCAUGGCUGAGUGUUAAAUUACUGCCCGUAUUCCACAAAUACAAAACAGGAUGCGGGCCUUCUUCCCACGAACACAGACAGACAACGACCCUGCGGAUCUGGCACCUACAGACCUGUGGAGUGCAGGACGCGGUCGGAGAUGGCGCGAGCGGAGGGGGUUCGAGGGCCGGCAGGUCCACGGCGGCGCCGGAUCGAUCGGAUCUAGGCAUGCGGUGGCCGGAUUGACUCGGCUGCGUGGAGAUGGCCGAUGGCGCCAUGCCAUCUCCUGUUAUCUAAAGAAAUGAGAAGAGAGACAGAAUAAGAGGGGUAGCAGGGCAACGUGCAUAGCAGAUAGCAGCGCAAUUUCAGGCCGGUCCUUGCAGGAUCUGGUAGAGCCAGUGGUGGGAACGAACGAACCUGGGCGAUGGGUGUCCGUUCCGGGCGGCAGACGGCAGGAUCCGACAGGGUCGGUCACGGGAGAAGCUCAUGCUCGAGGUCAUCCAUGGCUGCCUCCUGUACAUGAAUGAGAGAGCAGGGGAGCUCCAGACCGGGACGAUGGCCAUCUCCAGCGAGGCUCGGGGUCAC
This 781-nucleotide long non-coding RNA is filed under the name Hordeum vulgare. RNAcentral's name for it is "long non-coding RNA (HVUL_LNC020503)". The record is from RNAcentral. Lineage: Eukaryota; Viridiplantae; Streptophyta; Magnoliopsida; Poales; Poaceae.